RNAcentral lists this small RNA (100 nucleotides) under Paenibacillus sp. RNAcentral describes it as "Guanidine-I sequence". It matches the Rfam family "Guanidine-I riboswitch aptamer". From Rfam's summary of the family: This family represents a conserved RNA structure found upstream of the ykkC and yxkD genes in Bacillus subtilis and related genes in other bacteria. The function of this family is unclear although it has been suggested that it may function to switch on efflux pumps and detoxification systems in response to harmful environmental molecules. Nelson showed that this riboswitch senses and responds to guanidine and it was renamed Guanidine-I riboswitch. RNAcentral also lists the same sequence under 1 other name. Lineage: Bacteria; Bacillati; Bacillota; Bacilli; Caryophanales; Paenibacillaceae. The record is from RNAcentral.
GCAAAUGUUAUCUAGGGUUCCGCGAUACUAUGUCGGUCAGGUCCGAGAGAUAACUCACAACUCAAGAGUUGUGCCACGGAGGGAUAAAAGCCUGGGAGAU